AAUUAAUCAGAAUCACUUCAUAAAAUUACAACUGGAACCACUGUGAGGCAAAGAAGAAGUUGAAUUUUGCCUUAUACUGUGCUAGAGUUCUGACCUGGAUUAAAUAAAAAGCAAAGAAACUUUGCUCUUCAAUGGCUCCUCUAUUUCACUUAGCAGCUGCAAGAUUCAGGAAAACAAGAAUGGCAGAUUCUGGAGGCUGGCAGUGUAUGAGUGCAUAAAGCAGAGGGACUGUGGUAUAAUGCUGCAGCAGCUUCAGAGCAUGGCAGAGCAUCUGAGCUCACCUGCAGUCUGCCAAAUGCAGCAUAGAAAAACCUUCUAAACAUCAGAUUGUUGAGCAGCCGAGAGAUCUGGUCUCCAACAGUGGGAAGCUUUGAGUGACUCCCUGUUGUCCUGCAGCCCGCAGUCUGCUAACGCACAAGUUCCUAAUGAUUAUAAAGGCUGUGUAGCCAGGUUGCCUCCAAGCAAAAUGUCAGAAGCUGUUGGAAGAGAGGAAGGAGAGAAGAGCAUGGACAACUUAGGCUGCCAGGGCUGCAACAAGUGGAUGUCAAAUCUGCUCGGAGUUGGAAUAUGAAAUCAUACAGCAAGAACAGUAUAAUGGUCUGCUAGGUUAUUUUACGGGGUUCUGCACUUCAGAUAUUCCAGCUAGUUCUCUGUCUCCAGAGUAGAACUUUAGUGGUUUGCAGAAAAAGGUAGGAAAUACAGCAUGCUCCAUUAGGUUUGUGGAGAACAGCAAAAGCCUGUUAACCAGAUCAGGUCAACCCACUUCAAUGAGUGGGCUUUCUGAACAUUUCCACUGUGUGAUCUUAAUAUGAAAUCAACUGGUGAAAGAUUUCAUUUGUCAGAAGUACAUAGGCUGAUCUGAAAGUGAUGCCUUUUUUUUUUUUU
Molecule: long non-coding RNA, 885 nt
Filed under: Coturnix japonica (Japanese quail)
Lineage: Eukaryota; Metazoa; Chordata; Aves; Galliformes; Phasianidae
Description: lncRNA (ENSCJPG00005021008.1)
Source: RNAcentral